Molecule: transfer RNA, 76 nt
Filed under: Anaerolineaceae bacterium
Lineage: Bacteria; Bacillati; Chloroflexota; Anaerolineae; Anaerolineales; Anaerolineaceae
Description: tRNA-Glu
Rfam family: tRNA
About the family: Transfer RNA (tRNA) molecules are approximately 80 nucleotides in length. Their secondary structure includes four short double-helical elements and three loops (D, anti-codon, and T loops). Further hydrogen bonds mediate the characteristic L-shaped molecular structure. tRNAs have two regions of fundamental functional importance: the anti-codon, which is responsible for specific mRNA codon recognition, and the 3' end, to which the tRNAs corresponding amino acid is attached (by aminoacyl-tRNA synthetases). tRNAs cope with the degeneracy of the genetic code in two manners: having more than one tRNA (with a specific anti-codon) for a particular amino acid; and 'wobble' base-pairing, i.e. permitting non-standard base-pairing at the 3rd anti-codon position.
Source: RNAcentral
GCCCCAUUCGUCUAGUGGCCUAGGACGUAGCCCUCUCAAGGCUAAAACACGGGUUCGAACCCCGUAUGGGGCACCA